RNAcentral lists this ribosomal RNA (253 nucleotides) under uncultured bacterium. RNAcentral describes it as "partial 16S ribosomal RNA". It matches the Rfam family "Bacterial small subunit ribosomal RNA", at positions 524 to 776 of the family's 1533-position model. The record is from RNAcentral.
UACGUAGGAUCCAAGCGUUGUCCCGAUUUACUGGGUGUAAAGGGUGCGUAGGCGGGUCUUUAAGUCAGGGGUGAAAUCCUGGAGCUCAACUCCAGAACUGCCUUUGAUACUGAGGAUCUUGAGUUCGGGAGAGGUGAGUGGAACUGCGAGUGUAGAGGUGAAAUUCGUAGAUAUUCGCAAGAACACCAGUGGCGAAGGCGGCUCACUGGCCCGAUACUGACGCUGAGGCACGAAAGCGUGGGGAGCAAACAGG